This 409-nucleotide long non-coding RNA is filed under the name Spirodela polyrhiza (greater duckweed). RNAcentral's name for it is "long non-coding RNA (SPOL_LNC002017)". Lineage: Eukaryota; Viridiplantae; Streptophyta; Magnoliopsida; Alismatales; Araceae. The record is from RNAcentral.
CAGCGAUCCCCAGCAUCCACCUCCACGUCCCAGGCGCCUGAGAACGAACAGGUAGAUGGAUUCAUUCAUUUUCUUGACAUAUAUACAUAGAUUAGAUUCUUCCGCAGUGUCCUGAGGAUCGAUGGAUGCUUGAGGAGAGCGAAGAGGGUGGUCAGGCAGCCGUGCCUUGGUGAAGGCCAGGUUGAUGAGGUAGGACAGGAACUGGCCGCCUGUGAUGAGGAAGCCGUUGGUGCUCACGAGAGCUCCUCUGAUGCGCGCAGGAGAAGACUCGGAUAUGUAGAGGGGCGCCGUCAUGGACGCCACGCCCACCCCGAGGCCGGCCAGGACGCGGCCGACGAUCAGGAGGGAGGGGCUCGGAGCGGCGGCCAUGGCGGCGGCGCCGGCGAAGAAGAGCAAGUCGGCGGCGAGG